Molecule: unclassified non-coding RNA, 299 nt
Organism: Callithrix jacchus (white-tufted-ear marmoset)
Lineage: Eukaryota; Metazoa; Chordata; Mammalia; Primates; Cebidae
Rfam family: Metazoan signal recognition particle RNA
About the family: The signal recognition particle (SRP) is a universally conserved ribonucleoprotein. It is involved in the co-translational targeting of proteins to membranes.
Source: Ensembl
GCCAGGCACAGUGGCUCAUGCCUGUAGUCCCAGCCACUUGGGAGGCUGAGGCUGGAGGAUUGCUUGAGCUGAGGAGUUCUGGGCUGCAGUGCGCUAUGCUAAUCAGGUGUCCGUACUAAGUUCGGCAUCAAUAUGGUGACCUCCCGGGAGUGGGGACCACCAGGUUGCCUAAGGAGGGGUGAACCAGCCCAGAUCGGAAAUGGAGCAGGUCAAAACUCCUGUGCUGAUCAGUAGAGGGAUCGCGCCUGUGAAUAGCCACUGUGCUCCAGCCUGGGCAACAUAGCAAGACCCAGUCUGUU